Non-coding RNA from Camellia sinensis, 295 nucleotides. The record is from RefSeq and is a predicted model, not a curated record. Lineage: Eukaryota; Viridiplantae; Streptophyta; Magnoliopsida; Ericales; Theaceae.
UAGCUACACAAUCAAGUAUUCAAAAACUGGGUAUCGUUUGACGUAUGCAACUGUACUGGGAGCAGGGCACACACCUCAAGAGUACAAGCGUAGAGAAUGUUAUGAGAUGUACCAAAGGUGGAUCCAUUACAAUCCUCUCUAGUUGUUUCUUUAAGCCGAUUAAUGUUUUUGUGAGAUGUCCCAGAACUUAUUACAAUACUAUCCUCUUAGUGGACUUUUGUGAUUCUAAAUUGUAUUCAAAUUUUCUUCCUUCCAAUGGCUCAUUAUCAUAAUUAACUUGUAGAGCAUUUGUGCA